UAUGAUACAUCUAUAUCUAUUAUUUGUGCGAACAAUGAGAAGCACUUAAAUUAACUGUUUGCUAAUUAUUUCGCCCUAAAUAAUAAAAAAUUAGAAACAUGAAAAAGUAAACAAGCAGUUUAUAUACUAAGAACUUACAUACACAAUUUUCUACUCUAAGGCUGUCUUAGUCCUUUUUCAGGACUUGUUCAUAUUCCUAGUUGUGAUUAUCGCAAGUUGCUCUUUGAUGGCUCAAGCUUACUUAUAUGCGGAAGCUUUGUUCUACAUGGUCUUACAAACAAAUCUACCCUAAUAGGACUCAACCAAGAACACUAUCAUCUAUAUUCUUUGUAAACCUUUUCAUUACAAUCAACAAACCUAACAUUUGAAUCAAUUAUACUAACUAUUGAGGGAUUCCCGAUUUCUACU
Molecule: long non-coding RNA, 408 nt
Filed under: Ananas comosus (pineapple)
Lineage: Eukaryota; Viridiplantae; Streptophyta; Magnoliopsida; Poales; Bromeliaceae
Description: long non-coding RNA (ACOM_LNC016423)
Source: RNAcentral